UUAAUUGAAACCAAAAAGAGGUAUAUCACUGUUAAUGAUAAAAUUAAGUAUUCUUCAAUUAAA
RNAcentral lists this transfer RNA (63 nucleotides) under Rhadinosa nigrocyanea. RNAcentral describes it as "tRNA-Asn". Lineage: Eukaryota; Metazoa; Arthropoda; Insecta; Coleoptera; Chrysomelidae. The record is from RNAcentral.